CCAAUAAGACCUGUAACAGACUUCCUUUUUUUUCUAUUAAGAUGUAUUAAUUUUAGAGAGAGAAUGAGCAAGUGGGGGGUGGUGAGGUCUCAGAAAGAGAGAAUCCCCAAGCAGACUCCCUGAUGACUGCAAAGCCUGACGUAUGGGUCAGUCCCAUAGCCCAUGAGAUCAUGACCUGAGCCAAAACCAAGAGUUGGAUGCUUAAUGGACUGAGCCACCCAGGCACCUCAUAGAUUUGUGACAGACUUCUAACCUACAUAACUAAAAUAUUAACUUGUUUUAAAUCACUGAAUUCAUGGUAAUUUCUUGUUACAGCCAUAGAAAACUAAUACACCCACCAUGGCAGGGUUCAAUGCAGGUUCAGUGCACCGUAUUGGUGUGAUUGAUCACAAUUUGGGAAAAGAUGAGAAGAUUCAGCCCUAGGAACUGAUGUGAACUGGUUCUAGUGCACCACUGAGUAGACUUAAAUAAAAGUUUUGUUCAUUUUCUCCUUAUAUUUUAUAGCAGAAUAAUAAACUGGAUAAAAAGUGACUAAUACAAAGUGUCAUACUAUCAUUAAACUAUUUCCUAGUACUUACAUUUUUUAUUGCUUUUUUAGGACCUAAGGUAGCUGGAAGGUGGGAGGUGAGCAAUUAGGGAGGAGAAAUGAUAUGGGAUAGGGUCAUCACAUGGAACAACUCCUGAGAAGCCUUUUUCAUAUGGACUACGGUACAAAUGACAUCCCACUGAGUUGAGCAAAACUUGGAACAUAGAGAUGGAGACUUUUUCUGCCUGAGCCCCUGUGUGAUGACAUCCUAGGCUGACAUCUUUCCCCUACCUACCCUGCCACCACCAGCGGACAUGGGUGGAUUGUAUGAAAAGAUAUUAGAAACACAGAAAUACAGCAUCACUGUGAGGAAAUUCUUGACUUGUGAGAUCAUGAAGUCAAGUGGGACUUUCAACCUAG
Molecule: long non-coding RNA, 946 nt
Filed under: Canis lupus familiaris (dog)
Lineage: Eukaryota; Metazoa; Chordata; Mammalia; Carnivora; Canidae
Description: lncRNA (ENSCAFG00000043122.2, ENSCAFG00805008492.1, ENSCAFG00845023889.1)
Source: RNAcentral